UACGUAGGGGGCUAGCGUUGUCCGGAUUUAUUGGGCGUAAAGAGCGUGUAGGCGGCCAGGUAGGUCUGCUGUGAAAACUCGAGGCUCAACCUCGAGACGUCGGCGGAAACCAUCUGGCUAGAGUCCGGAAGAGGAGAGUGGAAUUCCUGGUGUAGCGGUGAAAUGCGCAGAUAUCAGGAAGAACACCCGUGGCGAAGACGGCUCUCUGGGACGGUACUGACGCUGAGACGCGAAAGCGUGGGGAGCGAACAGG
Molecule: ribosomal RNA, 253 nt
Filed under: uncultured bacterium
Lineage: Bacteria
Description: partial 16S ribosomal RNA
Rfam family: Bacterial small subunit ribosomal RNA
Source: RNAcentral